RNAcentral lists this ribosomal RNA (163 nucleotides) under Hoya australis. Its description in RNAcentral is "5.8S ribosomal RNA". It matches the Rfam family "5.8S ribosomal RNA". From Rfam's summary of the family: 5.8S ribosomal RNA (5.8S rRNA) is a component of the large subunit of the eukaryotic ribosome. It is transcribed by RNA polymerase I as part of the 45S precursor that also contains 18S and 28S rRNA. Functionally, it is thought that 5.8S rRNA may be involved in ribosome translocation. Lineage: Eukaryota; Viridiplantae; Streptophyta; Magnoliopsida; Gentianales; Apocynaceae. RNAcentral also lists the same sequence under 18 other names. The record is from RNAcentral.
ACACGACUCUCGGCAACGGAUAUCUAGGCUCUCGCAUCGAUGAAGAACGUAGCAAACUGCGAUACUUGGUGUGAAUUGCAGAAUCCCGUGAACCAUCGAGUCUUUGAACGCAAGUUGCGCCCGAAGCCAUUAGGCCGAGGGCACGUCUGCCUGGGCGUCACGC